This 294-nucleotide long non-coding RNA is filed under the name Salvia miltiorrhiza (redroot sage). RNAcentral's name for it is "long non-coding RNA (SMIL_LNC009727)". Lineage: Eukaryota; Viridiplantae; Streptophyta; Magnoliopsida; Lamiales; Lamiaceae. The record is from RNAcentral.
CCGUCUCUUGUUCGUUCUUGUUUUUUCUUUCUUUUUUCGCUUGGGUUUUUGGUCUUUUUUGUUCUUUGUUUUUUGGUUUGGGUUUUUCCGAACUUUCCUUGUUUGCGCCUGUGCUCUCAAGGGUUUUGUUUUUCUUCAAUAAAAUUUAUAUUUCAGCAGCUCUCAAGUAAUCAUCAACUAGGCUAAAGAUAUAUCUAUUGAUUUCCUAGUGAUUCUAAGAGAGUUCUUGUAAUCAGCCAUUCUGAUUGUAUUUUCUCUGUUUGCUCUCUUCCUCGAUUCAAUGCUUGUGAAGGU